RNAcentral lists this long non-coding RNA (458 nucleotides) under Homo sapiens (human). RNAcentral's name for it is "non-protein coding lnc-PLA2G2F-4:1". The record is from RNAcentral. Lineage: Eukaryota; Metazoa; Chordata; Mammalia; Primates; Hominidae.
GGCUAUUUCUCAUGGCCUGAAUCCCUGUGGAAUAUUUCACUUUAAGCACGGUCUGUGAAAUGGCGGGGGACUUACAAAAUGGUGCAGAUUGGACUUUCUUGCCUUCUACUUUAAUAUAAAAGGAAGAGGGGCGUUGUUGAUUAUCUGGCUGUUUCCUGUCGAAUUAGGGGCACUGUAACCAGGGUUUGGGUUUUGAAGUAGUGGGUGUUCGACUUUAGAGUUGUUUUCCUGGAAGCGCUGAUACUGGACUUAGUGGAGGAGAACGACGGUAUCAAUGUGUUUCUGGAUGACUGCCUGGACAAGGGAGUUCAGCUUUUGGGAGACUGACUGGGCUAUGAAGUGUACCUUUCUACUCUGCAGAGGCUGGAAAGGCAAAAAUGAUGGCUAAGGCUUCCUUGCAGACUGAGAACCCCUGGAGAAUACGAAAUGGUCUUUCCCAUCAGACAGGAAACUCCCAG